This 253-nucleotide ribosomal RNA is filed under the name uncultured bacterium. RNAcentral describes it as "partial 16S ribosomal RNA". It matches the Rfam family "Bacterial small subunit ribosomal RNA", at positions 524 to 776 of the family's 1533-position model. The record is from RNAcentral.
UCCGUAGGUGGCGAGCGUUAUCCGGAUUUACUGGGCGUAAAGCGCUUGUAGGCGGCGUCGUAAGUUGGGCGUGAAAGCUCCGGGCUUAACCCGGAGAGGCCGUCCAAUACUGCGGAGCUCGAGGGUGCCAGAGGAAGGUGGAAUUCCUGGUGUAGCGGUGAAAUGCGUAGAUAUCAGGAGGAACACCCGUGGCGAAGGCGGCUUUCUGGGGCAUUCCUGACGCGGAGAAGCGAAAGCUAGGGUAGAAGACAGG